Molecule: ribosomal RNA, 253 nt
Filed under: uncultured bacterium
Lineage: Bacteria
Description: partial 16S ribosomal RNA
Rfam family: Bacterial small subunit ribosomal RNA
Source: RNAcentral
UACGAAGGGGGCAAGCGUUGUUCGGAAUUACUGGGCGUAAAGGGCGCGUAGGCGGCUUAUCAAGUCAGGCGUGAAAUUCCCGGGCUCAACCUGGGGGCUGCGCUUGAUACUGAUGAGCUUGAAUGCGGGAGAGGAUAGUGGAAUUCCCAGUGUAGAGGUGAAAUUCGUAGAUAUUGGGAAGAACACCGGUGGCGAAGGCGGCCUUCUGGACAGUGACUGACGCUGAGACGCGAAAGCGUGGGGAGCAAACAGG